Molecule: non-coding RNA, 112 nt
Organism: Acanthosepion pharaonis
Lineage: Eukaryota; Metazoa; Mollusca; Cephalopoda; Sepiida; Sepiidae
Source: the annotation of a GenBank genome assembly
AUGGCCAUAUCACAUUGAACCACCAGUUCUCAUAAGUUCAACAAAGUUAAGCAACAUCAAGCCUUUUCAGUACCUUGAUGGGUGACCACUUGAGAAUACUAGGUGCUGUAAG